Non-coding RNA from Haemonchus contortus (barber pole worm), 73 nucleotides. The record is from Rfam. Lineage: Eukaryota; Metazoa; Nematoda; Chromadorea; Rhabditida; Trichostrongylidae.
GUCUCGGUAGUGUAAGGGAUAAGAGGACGGUCCCCGGAAAGGACAAGUACAGGUUCGAGUCCUGUCCGAGACU